Transfer RNA from Cladophialophora immunda, 127 nucleotides. It matches the Rfam family "tRNA". Rfam says of the family: Transfer RNA (tRNA) molecules are approximately 80 nucleotides in length. Their secondary structure includes four short double-helical elements and three loops (D, anti-codon, and T loops). Further hydrogen bonds mediate the characteristic L-shaped molecular structure. tRNAs have two regions of fundamental functional importance: the anti-codon, which is responsible for specific mRNA codon recognition, and the 3' end, to which the tRNAs corresponding amino acid is attached (by aminoacyl-tRNA synthetases). tRNAs cope with the degeneracy of the genetic code in two manners: having more than one tRNA (with a specific anti-codon) for a particular amino acid; and 'wobble' base-pairing, i.e. permitting non-standard base-pairing at the 3rd anti-codon position. The record is from Rfam. NCBI's taxonomy places the organism in Eukaryota, Fungi, Ascomycota, Eurotiomycetes, Chaetothyriales, Herpotrichiellaceae.
GGGAGGAUGGCCGAGCGGUUAUGGCGUGUGACUCAAGUGAAUUUCUCGAAAGUUCCUUGGCUUCUGGACAACAGGGGCUUGUUUUCUCAUGGGGAAACCCGCGUGGGUUCGAGUCCCACUCCUCUCA